This is a small nuclear RNA of Artibeus jamaicensis (Jamaican fruit-eating bat), 107 nucleotides long. The record is from RefSeq and is a predicted model, not a curated record. Lineage: Eukaryota; Metazoa; Chordata; Mammalia; Chiroptera; Phyllostomidae.
GCGCUUGCUUGGAUAGCUCACAGACUAAAACUGGAACAAUACAGAGAAGACAGGCGUGACCGCUGUGCCAGGACGGCAUGCAGACUCGGGAAGUGUUUCAUGUUUUU